Long non-coding RNA from Corapipo altera (White-ruffed manakin), 227 nucleotides. RefSeq lists it as uncharacterized. NCBI's taxonomy places the organism in Eukaryota, Metazoa, Chordata, Aves, Passeriformes, Pipridae. The record is from RefSeq and is a predicted model, not a curated record. The transcript has 3 exons.
GGCAGAUCAAACGGGCAGCACCACUUCAGAGGGCCAGCGACGCCUGCAGCAACCGGUUGAUGCCCUGGUAUCUUUGAAUUUUGUCCCAAAUCAUAGUCAGUCAGGAAUGCUACAAACUUCCUCACAGGAGGCAGUCCUUGCCAGCAGAGAGAACACCACUGGAAUUCCCAAGAACCACCCAGACAGGUCACAGUGCAGGGUCACUGUUUCAUGCUGCUCAUCUGCUC